GACGAACGCUGGUGGCGUGCUUAACACAUGCAAGUCGAACGGGAUUUAGUAAACAGAAGCCUCGGUGGAAGAUUACUAAUGAGAGUGGCGAACGGGUGAGUAACGCGUGAGCAACCUGCCUAUGACAGUGGGAUAGCCUCGGGAAACCGGGAUUAAUACCGCAUAAAAUCGUAGAAACACAUGUUUUAACGGUCAAAGAUUUAUCGGUCAUAGAUGGGCUCGCGUCUGAUUAGCUAGUUGGUGAGAUAACAGCCCACCAAGGCGACGAUCAGUAGCCGGUUGUGGGGGAGGACCGGCCCAAUUGGAACUGGGACCCGGCCCAAACCCCCACGGGGGGCAGCAGGGGGGAAAAUUGCACAAUGGGGGAACCCCUGAGGCAGCGGGGCCGGGGAAACGAAGAAGGUAUUCGUAUCGUAAAGUUCUGUCCUAGGGGAAGAUAAUGACAGUACCAAAGAAGAAAGCCCCGGCAAAAUCCGU
This 477-nucleotide ribosomal RNA is filed under the name uncultured bacterium. RNAcentral's name for it is "partial 16S ribosomal RNA". It matches the Rfam family "Bacterial small subunit ribosomal RNA", at positions 28 to 506 of the family's 1533-position model. The record is from RNAcentral.